This 100-nucleotide non-coding RNA is filed under the name Ottowia sp. Its description in RNAcentral is "SAH sequence". It matches the Rfam family "SAH (S-adenosyl-L-homocysteine) riboswitch aptamer". Lineage: Bacteria; Pseudomonadati; Pseudomonadota; Betaproteobacteria; Burkholderiales; Comamonadaceae. The record is from RNAcentral.
CUCGCCAAGGAGCGUUGCAGCAGAGCUGUGCAUCGAAUGGCCGUGUGCGCUGCCCUGUCUGGCUUGGCGGCUUGCCCUUUUGCAACGACGCUCGCCUGCU